RNAcentral lists this ribosomal RNA (743 nucleotides) under uncultured bacterium. RNAcentral describes it as "bacterial SSU rRNA". It matches the Rfam family "Bacterial small subunit ribosomal RNA", at positions 94 to 823 of the family's 1533-position model. The record is from RNAcentral.
AGCGGCGGAUGGGUGAGUAACACGUGGGGAACCUGCCCCUAAGUCUGGGAUACCAUUUGGAAACAGGUGCUAAUACCGGAUAAUAAAGCAGAUCGCAUGAUCAGCUUUUGAAAGGCGGCGUAAGCUGUCGCUAAGGGAUGGCCCCGCGGUGCAUUAGCUAGUUGGUAAGGUAACGGCUUACCAAGGCGACGAUGCAUAGCCGAGUUGAGAGACUGAUCGGCCACAUUGGGACUGAGACACGGCCCAAACUCCUACGGGAGGCAGCAGUAGGGAAUCUUCCACAAUGGACGCAAGUCUGAUGGAGCAACGCCGCGUGAGUGAAGAAGGUUUUCGGAUCGUAAAGCUCUGUUGUUGGUGAAGAAGGAUAGAGGUAGUAACUGGCCUUUAUUUGACGGUAAUCAACCAGAAAGUCACGGCUAACUACGUGCCAGCAGCCGCGGUAAUACGUAGGUGGCAAGCGUUGUCCGGAUUUAUUGGGCGUAAAGCGAGCGCAGGCGGAAAAAUAAGUCUAAUGUGAAAGCCCUCGGCUUAACCGAGGAACUGCAUCGGAAACUGUUUUUCUUGAGCGCAGAAGAGGGAAGUGGAAUUCCAUGUGUAGCGGUGAAACGCGUAGAGAUAUGGAGGAACACCAGUGGCGAAGGCGGCUUCCUGGUCUGUAACUGACACUGAGGCGCGAAAGCAUGGGUAGCGAACAGGAUUAGAUACCCUGGUAGUCCAUGCCGUAAACGAUGAGUGCUAAGUGU